Molecule: ribosomal RNA, 492 nt
Filed under: uncultured bacterium
Lineage: Bacteria
Description: partial 16S ribosomal RNA
Rfam family: Bacterial small subunit ribosomal RNA
Source: RNAcentral
AGUGAACGCUGGCGGUAGGCCUAACACAUGCAAGUCGAACGGCAGCACAGUAAGAGCUUGCUCUUACGGGUGGCGAGUGGCGGACGGGUGAGGAAUACAUCGGAAUCUACUUUUUCGUGGGGGAUAACGUAGGGAAACUUACGCUAAUACCGCAUACGACCUACGGGUGAAAGCAGGGGAUCUUCGGACCUUGCGCGAUUGAAUGAGCCGAUGUCGGAUUAGCUAGUUGGCGGGGUAAAUGCCCACCAAGGCGACGAUCCGUAGCUGGUCUGAGAGGAUGAUCAGCCACACUGGAACUGAGACACGGUCCAGACUCCUACGGGAGGCAGCAGUGGGGAAUAUUGGACAAUGGGCGCAAGCCUGAUCCAGCCAUACCGCGUGGGUGAAGAAGGCCUUCGGGUUGUAAAGCCCUUUUGUUGGGAAAGAAAAGCAGCAGGUUAAUACCCCGCUGUUCUGACGGUACCCAAAGAAUAGGCACCGGCUAACUUCGUG